CUGCCUCAAAAAACCAAAAUAAAUCCCCAUGGGGACCUGGUGUGCAAUGGUUGCAAGCAGCAGCCUCCUUGGUAGUGUAUGUAGCCUGUUUGUUGCCUGUAUGGGUUGCCCCAAGGGACCUUGGAGACAAUG
Acomys russatus (golden spiny mouse) is the source of this 132-nucleotide small nucleolar RNA. RefSeq annotates it as small nucleolar RNA SNORA70. Lineage: Eukaryota; Metazoa; Chordata; Mammalia; Rodentia; Muridae. The transcript has a single exon. The record is from RefSeq and is a predicted model, not a curated record.